Alosa alosa (allis shad) is the source of this 569-nucleotide long non-coding RNA. RefSeq lists it as uncharacterized. The transcript is spliced from 3 exons. The record is from RefSeq and is a predicted model, not a curated record. NCBI's taxonomy places the organism in Eukaryota, Metazoa, Chordata, Actinopteri, Clupeiformes, Clupeidae.
ACUCAACUGUCUGAGUUAUCCUAAAUACUUCUUGAAAUCACCUCUUGAACUCAACUCUACUACAGAAUCACUAAUGCCUUGUCCUAGUAGUGAAGCUUUGGAGGCACCAAUUGUGAGCUUUCUUGCUAUGCCACUUUUCUUCUGUUAUGGGAGUGUAUGGUAGCCCAUAGCACUGUGUAGUGCUUGUAGUUAUGUUCCACCUUUUGACAAGCUUAAUCAUGUAUGCACAACCAUUUCAUUUUAUAGGUAAAACAUCUCAUGAGUUUGGGUAGGACAACAAUAAAAGAUAUAAUCUACAGGAUCAUGCGUGAAACAAUCAGCAAUGAUUUAGCGAAAAAGUUUAACUGGAUGGGCAGGGGGCAGAAAAGUCCUUUUUCUGUGUUGCACCUGGCAAAAGUCAUCAUAGAUGCUGCCAAACAACAAGGGGCCACCUUAAUGGAGGCAGAAGAAAAGAUAAAAACAUGGCUAAAAUACAGCGGUGACCGAAAUGGAGGGAGAAAAAGGAGAUCAGAAAAGGAGAGGCAGACACAUUCCCCAUCACAUCCUCCAUCUGACAUCAGCAGUGAAUC